AAGCGUUGAUCUGAGAGAGUGUGUCAGCAGGCAUUGGCUCAGGGAGCUUCUCCGGAGGGGUUGGGGCGAAAACCUCAAGCUGACUAGCGAAAGCGAAAGAAAACACCAAUA
The submitters of this non-coding RNA (111 nucleotides) gave its source as unclassified sequences. The record is from Rfam.